Rattus norvegicus (Norway rat) is the source of this 69-nucleotide non-coding RNA. NCBI's taxonomy places the organism in Eukaryota, Metazoa, Chordata, Mammalia, Rodentia, Muridae. The record is from Rfam.
GGGGAUUUAGCUCAGUGGUGGAGCGCUUGCCUAGCAAGCACAAGGUCCUGGGUUCGGUCCCCAGCUCCG